AACUGAUCGCGAGAUCAGCCGAUAACUGAAAGACCAUUGGUUCGGACUCUCAGAUUAUCUCCUCAUCAGGCUAAUCACGGUUAUUUGACCCGGCUCUUGCCGGGUCUUUUUU
Molecule: small RNA, 112 nt
Filed under: Pseudomonas fluorescens SS101
Lineage: Bacteria; Pseudomonadati; Pseudomonadota; Gammaproteobacteria; Pseudomonadales; Pseudomonadaceae
Also listed under: 1 other name
Description: PrrF1 RNA
Rfam family: PrrF RNA
About the family: PrrF RNA is a small RNA involved in iron homeostasis and is found exclusively in Pseudomonas species. Their expression is induced under iron limitation by the ferric uptake regulator (Fur) and they act to negatively regulate several genes including sodB and sdh.
Source: RNAcentral